AGUGAACGCUGGCGGUAGGCCUAACACAUGCAAGUCGAACGGCAGCACAGUAAGAGCUUGCUCUUACGGGUGGCGAGUGGCGGACGGGUGAGGAAUACAUCGGCAUCUACUUUUUCGUGGGGGAUAACGUAGGGAAACUUACGCUAAUACCGCAUACGACCUACGGGUGAAAGCAGGGGAUCUUCGGACCUUGCGCGAUUGAAUGAGCCGAUGUCGGAUUAGCUAGUUGGCGGGGUAAAGGCCCACCAAGGCGACGAUCCGUAGCUGGUCUGAGAGGAUGAUCAGCCACACUGGAACUGAGACACGGUCCAGACUCCUACGGGAGGCAGCAGUGGGGAAUAUUGGACAAAGGGCGAAAGCCUGAUCCAGCCAUACCGCGUGGGUGAAGAAGGCCUUCGGGUCGUAAAGCCCUUUUGUUGGGAAAGAAAAGCAGCAGGUUAAUACCCCGCUGUUCUGACGGUACCCAAAGAAUAAGCACCGGCUAACUUCGUG
RNAcentral lists this ribosomal RNA (492 nucleotides) under uncultured bacterium. RNAcentral describes it as "partial 16S ribosomal RNA". It matches the Rfam family "Bacterial small subunit ribosomal RNA", at positions 29 to 507 of the family's 1533-position model. The record is from RNAcentral.